RNAcentral lists this ribosomal RNA (279 nucleotides) under uncultured bacterium. RNAcentral's name for it is "partial 16S ribosomal RNA". It matches the Rfam family "Bacterial small subunit ribosomal RNA", at positions 506 to 784 of the family's 1533-position model. The record is from RNAcentral.
UGCCAGCAGCCGCGGUAAUACGGAGGGAGCGAGCGUUAAUCGGAAUUACUGGGCGUAAAGCGUGUGUAGGCGGCCGCGUAAGUCGGGUGUGAAAGCCCAGGGCUCAACCCUGGAAUUGCGCCCGAAACUACGCAGCUUGAGUAUGGGAGAGGGGUGCGGAGUUCCUGGUGUAGAGGUGAAAUUCGUAGAGAUCAGGAGGAACACCCGCGGCGAAGGCGGCACCCUGGACCACUACUGACGCUGAGACACGAAAGCGUGGGGAGCAAACAGGAUUAGAUA